This 497-nucleotide ribosomal RNA is filed under the name uncultured Glomeromycotina. Its description in RNAcentral is "partial small subunit ribosomal RNA". It matches the Rfam family "Eukaryotic small subunit ribosomal RNA", at positions 591 to 1092 of the family's 1831-position model. The record is from RNAcentral. Lineage: Eukaryota; Fungi; Glomeromycota.
CCAAUAGCGUAUAUUAAAGUUGUUGCAGUUAAAAAGCUCGUAGUUGAAUUUUAGGCCUGGCCGGGCGGUCCGUCUUUGGCGAGUACUGUCCUGUGUCGGGUCUUCCUUCUGGUGAACCAGCAUGUCCUUUAUUGGGUGUGCCGGGGAGCCAGGACCAUUACCUUGAAAAAAUUAGAGUGUUUAAAGCGGGCAUUUGCUUGAAUCGAUUAGCAUGGAAUAAUAGAAUAGGACGUUGUGGUUCUAUUUUGUUGGUUUCUAGGACCACCGUAAUGAUUAAUAGGGAUAGUUGGGGGCAUUAGUAUUCAAUUGUCAGAGGUGAAAUUCUUGGAUUUAUUGAAGACUAACUAUUGCGAAAGCAUUUGCCAAGGAUGUUUUCAUUAAUCAAGAACGAAAGUUAGGGGAUCGAAGACGAUCAGAUACCGUCGUAGUCUUAACCAUAAACUAUGCCGACUAGGAAUCGGGCGACGUUAUUUUCAUGACUCGCUCGGCGCCUUAUG